This 69-nucleotide transfer RNA is filed under the name Marmota monax (woodchuck). It matches the Rfam family "tRNA". Rfam says of the family: Transfer RNA (tRNA) molecules are approximately 80 nucleotides in length. Their secondary structure includes four short double-helical elements and three loops (D, anti-codon, and T loops). The record is from Rfam by way of RNAcentral. Lineage: Eukaryota; Metazoa; Chordata; Mammalia; Rodentia; Sciuridae. RNAcentral also lists the same sequence under 2 other names.
GGGGCUGUAGCUCAGUGGUAGAGUGCUCGCCUCACAUGUGGAAGGCAUUGGGUUCAAUCCUCAGCACCA